This 567-nucleotide ribosomal RNA is filed under the name Aemodogryllinae gen. 1 sp. 3 QDZ-2022a. RNAcentral describes it as "partial large subunit ribosomal RNA". It matches the Rfam family "Bacterial large subunit ribosomal RNA", at positions 1783 to 2624 of the family's 2925-position model. The record is from RNAcentral. Lineage: Eukaryota; Metazoa; Arthropoda; Insecta; Orthoptera; Rhaphidophoridae.
CAAGUACGUCGCCCUUUUUUUGAAAAACAUGGUUUUUUGUAUUAUAAUCUAAAAUUUGACCUGCCCACUGAUAAUAAAUUGAAUGGCCGCGGUAUUUUGACCGUGCAAAGGUAGCAUAAUCAUUAGUCCUUUAAUUGUGGACUGGAAUGAAUGGUUUGACGAGGUAUUUACUGUCUCAUUUUAAUAAUUUGAAUUUAACUUUUAAGUUAAAAGGCUUAAAUAAUAUUAUAGGACGAGAAGACCCUAUAGAGCUUAAUAAUUAUUUAUUUUAAUAUAUUUUUGGUUAACUAUUUUUAUUAUAAUUUUAAUUAUUUUAUUGGGGUGAUAUAAAGAAUUAAAAAACUCUUUAUUUAUAUAAACAUUGAUUUAUGAUUGUUUGAUCCAUUAUUAAUGAUUAUAAGAUUAAGUUACCUUAGGGAUAACAGCGUUAUUUUUUUUGAGAGUUCUUAUCAACAUAAAAGAUUGCGACCUCGAUGUUGGAUUAAGGUAAAUAUUGGGUGUAGAAGUUCAAUAAUUGGGUCUGUUCGACCAUUGAAUCCUUACGUGAUCUGAGUUCCCAGACCGGGA